CCUUGUUUUGCCUAAAAAUCUCGCCCCCUGAUUUUCUUGAGUCCCCCCUCCCCCAUAUAUGUUCAAACUUCGCCACUUGCAACUGAAAGCUACCAUUGUCGUUGCCCACCCACCAUUCAACAAGGCGGCAUAGAUGAUCAUGGAGGAAGAGGAAGAAACGUCGUCACAACCGCGAACUAGGACAACCGCCUUAAACCGAGACCGAGAAGAUGGCCAUGAUAGUUUAGUGGCCGAUUAUUUUGCCAACGAACCUGUGUACACGGCCGUAAUGUUUAAACGUCGGUUCCAAAUGAGUUGUCGAUUGUUCUUACGUAUAACAGACGACUUGGCAUAGUCUGAUCCGUUUUUCACACUUCGAUACGACGCUAGGGGCCAUAGGGGAUUCACCACUUUACAGAAAUGUACGCAUUCUCCCUACGUAACGAGUACACACAUCAAAACUUUCAAGCAGACUUCGUGGAAUACAUUUGGAAUAACGCACAAAACGAACCCAUUGACGACAUGCCGGAUGAAGACUAGUAGUUUUUUUAAUUUCUUUUAAGUUUAGGUUGUUUUUUUAAUGUAAUGUAGGAAUU
Helianthus annuus (common sunflower) is the source of this 575-nucleotide long non-coding RNA. RefSeq lists it as uncharacterized. The transcript is spliced from 3 exons. Lineage: Eukaryota; Viridiplantae; Streptophyta; Magnoliopsida; Asterales; Asteraceae. The record is from RefSeq and is a predicted model, not a curated record.